Molecule: ribosomal RNA, 760 nt
Filed under: uncultured bacterium
Lineage: Bacteria
Description: bacterial SSU rRNA
Rfam family: Bacterial small subunit ribosomal RNA
Source: RNAcentral
UAAGUCAGAUGUGAAAGCCCAGGGCUCCCUUUUGGAACUGCAUUUGAUACUGGCAAACUAGAGUAUGGUAGAGGAAUGGGGAAUUUCUGGUGUAGCGGUGAAAUGCGUAGAGAUCAGAAGGAACACCAAUGGCGAAGGCAACAUUCUGGACCAAUACUGACACUGAGGGACGAAAGCGUGGGGAUCAAACAGGAUUAGAUACCCUGGUAGUCCACGCUGUAAACGAUGAGUACUAGCUGUUGGAUUCGGUGUAAAGGAUCUAGUGGCGUAGCUAACGCGUUAAGUACUCCGCCUGGGGACUACGGCCGCAAGGCUAAAACUCAAAGGAAUUGACGGGGACCCGCACAAGCGGUGGAGCAUGUGGUUUAAUUCGAUGCAACGCGAAGAACCUUACCUGGUCUUGACAUCCUGCGAACUUUCUAGAGAUAGAUUGGUGCCUUCGGGAACGCAGUGACAGGUGCUGCACGGCUGUCGUCAGCUCGUGUUGUGAAAUGUUGGGUUAAGUCCCGCAACGAGCGCAACCCCUAUUGAUAGUUACCAUCAUUAAGUUGGGUACUCUAUUGAGACUGCCGCUGACAAGGCGGAGGAAGGUGGGGACGACGUCAAGUCAUCAUGGCCCUUACGACCAGGGCUACACACGUGCUACAAUGGGUAUUACAGAGGGCAGCGAAGUAGCGAUAUGGAGCGAAACUCAGAAAGGUACUCUUAGUCCGGAUUGCAGUCUGCAACUCGACUGCAUGAAGUCGGAAUCGCUAGUAAU